RNAcentral lists this transfer RNA (75 nucleotides) under Rubripirellula lacrimiformis. RNAcentral describes it as "Planctomycetes bacterium K22_7 tRNA-Met". It matches the Rfam family "tRNA". Rfam says of the family: Transfer RNA (tRNA) molecules are approximately 80 nucleotides in length. Their secondary structure includes four short double-helical elements and three loops (D, anti-codon, and T loops). The record is from RNAcentral. Lineage: Bacteria; Pseudomonadati; Planctomycetota; Planctomycetia; Pirellulales; Pirellulaceae.
GGGGCGGUAGCUCAGUCGGUUAGAGCAGGACACUCAUAAUGUCUUGGCCGGGGGUUCAAGUCCCUCUCGCCCUAC